Molecule: long non-coding RNA, 297 nt
Filed under: Elaeis guineensis (African oil palm)
Lineage: Eukaryota; Viridiplantae; Streptophyta; Magnoliopsida; Arecales; Arecaceae
Description: long non-coding RNA (EGUI_LNC078706)
Source: RNAcentral
GUGGAAGUCCGGCUGGCGUUGUUGAAGUCCGACUGACGCUAUUGAAGGUUGAUGGCUGGAGAGGUACGGAAGACACUGGAGGCGGUCAGCCGUUGUAGAAAUCUAGCUGCUGGAGCCCAUCCGUUGUAGAAGUUCGUCCAGAAUCCAUCCGCUAUGGAAGUUCAGACGGAGUCCGGUUCUUAUAGAAGUCCGGAUGGAGACCGCUUAUCGAAGAAGCUCGGCUGAAAUCCAUCUGUAAUAGAAGUUCGGAAGGAAUUUGUUUACAGUAGAAGCUCGGAUGGAAUUCGCUUACAGUUG